Molecule: ribosomal RNA, 672 nt
Filed under: uncultured archaeon
Lineage: Archaea
Description: bacterial SSU rRNA
Rfam family: Archaeal small subunit ribosomal RNA
Source: RNAcentral
CGUGGUUAACCUGCCCUUGGGACGGAAACACCCCCGGGAAACUGGGGCUAAUUUCCGAUAGGUGAAGACUCCUGGAAUGGAUCUUCGCCUAAAGGGCGCUUAGGCCAUGCUUCUAAGCGCUGCCCAAGGAUGGGACCGCGGCCGAUCAGGUUGUUGGUGAGGUAAUGGCUCACCAAGCCUUUAACCGGUUCGGGCCGUGGGAGCGGGAGCCCGGAGAUGGGCACUGAGACAAGGGCCCAGGUCCUACGGGGCGCAGCAGUCGCGAAAACUCCGCAAUACGCGAAGGCGUGACGGGGCUAUCCCGAGUGCCGUCCGCUGAGGAUGGCUUUUCCCCAGUGUAGAUAGCUGGGGGAAUAAGGAGAGGGCAAGUCUGGUGUCAGCCGCCGCGGUAAUACCAGCUCUCCGAGUGGUGGGGACGUUUAUUGGGCCUAAAGCAUCCGUAGCCAGCUGAGCAAGUCCCCAGUUAAAUCCAGCGAUUUAAUCGUUGGACUGCUGGGGAUACUGUCCGGCUAGGGGGUGGGAGAGGCCGACGGUAUUCCCGGGGUAGGGGUGAAAUCCUAUAAUCCCGGGAGGACCACCAGUGGCGAAGGCCGUUGGCUAAAACAUGCCCGACGGUGAGGGAUGAAAGCUGGGGGAGCGAACCGGAUUAGAUACCCGGGUAGUCCCAGCUGU